GACCCUGUAGCACAAUUUAAAGCGCAUUGAACUUCUAAUCCAAAGGUCGUGGGUUCGAUUCCCCCCUGGGAUGGCCU
Non-coding RNA from Trichonephila clavipes, 77 nucleotides. NCBI's taxonomy places the organism in Eukaryota, Metazoa, Arthropoda, Arachnida, Araneae, Nephilidae. The record is from the annotation of a GenBank genome assembly.